GAUGAACGCUAGCGGGAGGCCUAACACAUGCAAGCCGAGCGGUAGAGAUUCUUCGGAAUCUUGAGAGCGGCGUACGGGUGCGGAACACGUGUGCAACCUGCCUUUAUCAGGGGGAUAGCCUUUCGAAAGGAAGAUUAAUACCCCAUAAUAUAUUUGAUGGCAUCAUUAGAUAUUGAAAGCUUUGGCGGAUAGAGAUGGGCACGCGCAAGAUUAGAUAGUUGGUGAGGUAACGGCUCACCAAGUCGAUGAUCUUUAGGGGGCCUGAGAGGGUGAUCCCCCACACUGGUACUGAGGCACGGACCAGACUCCUACGGGAGGCAGCAGUGAGGAAUAUUGGACAAUGGGUUAGCGCCUGAUCCAGCCAUCCCGCGUGAAGGACGACGGCCCUAUGGGUUGUAAACUUCUUUUGUACAGGGAUAAACCUACUCUCGUGAGAGUAGCUGAAGGUACUGUACGAAUAAGCACCGGCUAACUCCGUG
This 479-nucleotide ribosomal RNA is filed under the name uncultured bacterium. Its description in RNAcentral is "partial 16S ribosomal RNA". It matches the Rfam family "Bacterial small subunit ribosomal RNA", at positions 28 to 507 of the family's 1533-position model. The record is from RNAcentral.